Molecule: ribosomal RNA, 494 nt
Filed under: uncultured bacterium
Lineage: Bacteria
Description: partial 16S ribosomal RNA
Rfam family: Bacterial small subunit ribosomal RNA
Source: RNAcentral
GACGAACGCUGGCGGCGCGCUUAACACAUGCGAGUCGAACGGAAAGGCCUGCUUUCCCUUGUGGAUUGCGGGUACUCGAGUGGCGAACGGGUGAGUAACACGUGAGUGAUCUGCCCCCAACUUGGGUAUAAGCCUGGGAAACUGGGUCUAAUUCCCGAUAGGACUGCAGGGUGGUGCCUGUGGUGGAAAACGAUUUUCUAGUGGUUGGGGAUGAGCUCGCGGCCUAUCAGCUUGUUGGUGGGGUAAUGGCCUACCAAGGCGGCGACGGGUAGCCGGCCUGAGAGGGUGGACGGCCACAUUGGGACUGAGAUACGGCCCAGACUCCUACGGGAGGCAGCAGUGGGGAAUAUUGCACAAUGGGCGGAAGCCUGAUGCAGCGACGCCGCGUGGGGGAUGACGGCCUUCGGGUUGUAAACUCCUUUCGACCGCGAGGAAGCCACCUGGUUGGAAGGGUGGCGACGGUAGUGGUAGAAGAAGCACCGGCUAACUACGUG